GCCAUGUAAAUAGUUUAUGAUUAUUAUUAAUUAAUGUUAUACAUAAUGCACACUGCUCUGUAUGUUGAAAUAAAUCUAUCUUACUUCAGCUACAGUCGUAUGAAAUGCAGCUGCCAGAUUUUAAUAUCCGUCUCUUGGCUUCUGCUGUGGCUCAGAUUGAUUUCAGUGGAUUUCCAAUAACUCUCAAGAAACAUGCCACUGAGACUUCUGCUACCACCCCGACACAAUAUAGACCGAUUUCUGCUUCCUCCAGACUGCACACGGUGGAGAGUGAGACGACAGCAGCAGCAGCAGCAGGGUGUGACAUAAAGCAAAACCCUG
Molecule: long non-coding RNA, 321 nt
Organism: Thunnus maccoyii (southern bluefin tuna)
Lineage: Eukaryota; Metazoa; Chordata; Actinopteri; Scombriformes; Scombridae
Exons: 3
Source: RefSeq, a predicted model, not a curated record